AUCGAACGCUGGCGGCAUGCUUUACACAUGCAAGUCGAACGGUAACAGCCCGCCAGGUGCUGCCGAGUGGCGUACGGCUUGGUAAUCUAUCGUAACGUUCCCAGUCGCUGGGCGUAACUACUCCUAAUAGUAGCUAAUACCUCAUACCAUCUAUGUUUGCACCCUUGGGUCCGUACGCCCUGGCGCGGUUGGAUGGGCCGAUGUCAGCCUAGCUAGUUGGUGGGGUAAAGGUGUACCAAGGCAACGAUCUGUAGCUGGUCUGAGAGGACGAGCAGCCACACUGGGACUGAGACACGGCCCAGAAUCCUACGGGAGGCAGGAGUGGGGAAUAUUGGAAAAUGGGCGAAAGGCUGAACCAGCAAGGCCGCGUGAGUGAUGAAGGACGGAGGGAAGUAAAGCUGGUUUACCCGGGAUGAUAAUGACAGUACCGGGAGAAUAAGCUCCGGCUAACUACGUG
This 457-nucleotide ribosomal RNA is filed under the name uncultured bacterium. Its description in RNAcentral is "partial 16S ribosomal RNA". It matches the Rfam family "Bacterial small subunit ribosomal RNA", at positions 30 to 507 of the family's 1533-position model. The record is from RNAcentral.